RNAcentral lists this ribosomal RNA (495 nucleotides) under uncultured bacterium. Its description in RNAcentral is "bacterial SSU rRNA". It matches the Rfam family "Bacterial small subunit ribosomal RNA", at positions 28 to 507 of the family's 1533-position model. The record is from RNAcentral.
GAUGAACGCUAGCUACAGGCUUUAACACAUGCAAGUCGAGGGGAACGACAUCGAAAGCUUGCUUUUGAUGGGGCGUCGACCGGCGCACGGGUGAGUAACGCGUAUCCAACCUGCCCACCACUUGGGGGAUUAACCUUGCGAAAGUAAGACUAAUACCCAAUGAUAUCCCACGAAGGCAUCCGAAUGGGAUUAAAGAUUUUAUCGGUGAUGGAUGGGGAUGCGUCUGAUUAGCUUGUUGGCGGGGUAACGGCCACCAAGGCGACGAUCAGUAGGGGUUCUGAGAGGAAGGUCCCCCACAUUGGAACUGAGACACGGUCCAAACUCCUACGGGAGGCAGCAGUGAGGAACAUUGGUCAAUGGGCGAGAGCCUGAACCAGCCAAGUAGCGUGCAGGAUGACGGCCCUAUGGGUUGUAAACUGCUUUUAUAAGGGAAUAAAGUGGGUCUCGUGAGACUUUUUGCAUGUACCUUAUGAAUAAGGACCGGCUAAUUCCGUG